RNA transcript from Phragmites australis (common reed), 1983 nucleotides. RefSeq lists it as uncharacterized. The transcript is spliced from 9 exons. Lineage: Eukaryota; Viridiplantae; Streptophyta; Magnoliopsida; Poales; Poaceae. The record is from RefSeq and is a predicted model, not a curated record.
UUAAGCGCUGUUCUGCACCGAAGUUUUAAUCCUAACACCUGCAUCGCUCCUCCUCAGGGGUCCCACCCGUCGGUCUCCCCAUACGUCUCCCGCCAUGGCCACUACCACCACCUCGACGCCGUCGACCCCCGCCGCCGCCGCCGGGAACCACCCGCGCCACCUCCUCCGAGGCUUCCUCUCUCCCGAAACCUGCAAGGAGCUGGAGUUCGUGCAUCGGAGUUGCGGUGCCGCGGGGUACCGCCCGUCGGUGCUGUCGACGUCGCUGCCGCACCUGGCGGCCACCGGCUGCGGCCACCUCCUUCUCCCCUUCGUGCCCGUCCGCGAGCGCCUCCGCGACGCCGUCGAGUCAUUCUUCUCCUGCCACUUCGAUCUCUUCAUCGAGUUCACCGGGCUCAUCAGUUGGUGCAAGGGAGCGUCUAUUGGAUGGCACAGUGAUGACAAUAAGCCUUAUCUUAGGCAGAGGGCAUUCACAGCAGUUUGCUACUUGAACGAUCAUGGAAAGGACUACGAGGGUGGAAUUUUGCAGUUUCAGGAUGGUGAACCUUCCUCUAUUGUUCCAGUUGCUGGUGAUGUCGUCAUCUACACCGCUGAUAGUUGUAAUGUCCAUUGUGUAGAUGAGGUGACUGAAGGCGAACGGCUAACUCUGACUCUUUGGUUCACCAGAGACAGUGCUUAUGAUGAGGAUCCAAAGCUCCUUACUUUUCUCUCUCAGACGUCAACGAGCUAUGAACCAUCUGAUCAAUACUCUUACAUUCCUUUGCCAGCCUCUGACAACAUGUAUUGGUUUUCCUACGAUCAGUCUGGUUUUGACAUACGAUGGGCUAGAGUGCAUGUUCUUGGAUUUAGUUUCCACACAAGUAGUAGUGAAGACAGUACAUGCGCGAUACCAGCUGAAGAUGACCCAAUAGAAUUGCUUGGGAAGCAACUGCGGCUCAGGAAGGGAGAUUAUGUCUUUGAGAAAAUAUUCGCUAACAGUUUGCAUGCUCUUCAGGUGGUGCAAUUCUACUACUGGAAAGCACCUGAGCUGGCAUCAAGGAGGGGACAAACUAAUGGUGGUUCAGAAACUGUCUGCCAUUUCGUUAUACACCAUUCAAGAGGAACAGAACUACCAAUACCAUGCAACCAUGCUCUUGCACAAACCAUAUUCAGAUCAUACAACGAUGCAGAAUUUGCCUUUGAAUGGAAUGAUUUUGCAUUAGCAGUUGCUAUGUGGGAAAAUUAUUCAGAAGAAUUGAAGAGAAAGUUGUCAGCAUUUUUGCCAUACUGGCUCUCCAAUGAAACAAUUUAUGCUGUUGAUUCCUCUGAGCUCCAGUUCUUUCAUCCAAAUAUGAAACUGCAGCUAGCAUAGAUGAUGGCCCAAAUUUACCGGAGUGCCUGUUAGAAGAAUAUCUCAAAUGGGCUGAAGCAUUGGCAGGCUAUUGGUUGAUUGUUUUUGGAAAUAAUAGUUAAGUACCAGUCAAAAAAGAUAUCAUUCAUCUCUCUCACUGUCUCAUACAAACACAAGAAAGCACAUGGUCCUUUAUUUGUGGAAUCUGUAGAAAUAGUCUUACAGUCGAAUCCUGAGGCCAGUGUGUAGAGAUCACUACUUAGAUACUAGAGUUGCCUCUCUCUUUUUUCCCUAAAAAAUUAUAUAUUGCAUAAAUACUUUCCAGUGGCUGAUAUGUUGUGAAUCAGAAGGCAAAACCAAUGGUCCUUGCACAUUCACACUGAACAUCUCAACCACUCUAUGUUUCUUUGGCAGAUGAAUCACAUGCCAUACUUAAAUACUAGCAUAUUUCCUUUCUAAACCACUUUUGCUGCUUACCACAAUGUCACAGUCAAAUUUUAUACAGAGAGCUCAACCAAUCUAAUUCUCCAGUGGUGGUUUGGAUCUGCCUCAUUCUUCGGUGACAUAGCUGGGGUGCUGGAGACUCCUCUCCAUGCUUUGGAACCGCCUCUGCUUCUGAAGUAUUGUAUUGGACUGGAACAACAGAAGCGUGUGCA